RNAcentral lists this ribosomal RNA (453 nucleotides) under uncultured Porphyromonadaceae bacterium. Its description in RNAcentral is "partial 16S ribosomal RNA". It matches the Rfam family "Bacterial small subunit ribosomal RNA", at positions 341 to 792 of the family's 1533-position model. The record is from RNAcentral. Lineage: Bacteria; Pseudomonadati; Bacteroidota; Bacteroidia; Bacteroidales; Porphyromonadaceae.
ACGGAAGGCAGCAGUGAGGAAUAUUGGUCAAUGGGCGGAAGCCUGAACCAGCCAAGUCGCGUGAAGGAUGAAGGUAUUAUGUAUUGUAAACUCCUUUAGACGUAGAGAAAUAAGAGGCUCGUGAGCCUUGAUGCUAGUAUACGUAGAAUAAGGAUCGGCUAACUCCGUGCCAGCAGCCGCGGUAAUACGGAGGAUCCGAGCGUUAUCCGGAUUUAUUGGGUUUAAAGGGUGCGCAGGCGGCCCUGUAAGUCAGCGGUUAAAUCGUGGAGCUCAACUCCAUCCCGCCGUUGAUACUGCAGGGCUUGAUUGCGGUCGAGGUUGGCGGAAUUCGCCGUGUAGCGGUGAAAUGCAUAGAUAUGGCGAAGAACUCCGAUUGCGUAGGCAGCUGACCAGGCCGUAAAUGACGCUCAUGCACGAAAGUGCGGGGAUCGAACAGGAUUAGAUACCCUGGUA